This 309-nucleotide unclassified non-coding RNA is filed under the name fungal sp. RNAcentral's name for it is "partial internal transcribed spacer region". The stretch from base 1 to 46 matches the Rfam family "Eukaryotic small subunit ribosomal RNA", at positions 1786 to 1831 of the family's 1831-position model. The record is from RNAcentral. Lineage: Eukaryota; Fungi.
AAGUCGUAACAAGGUAUCUGUAGGUGAACCUGCAGAUGGAUCAUUUCGAUGAAAACCUUUUUUCUGAGGUGUGGCUCGCACCUGUCCAACUAAACUUGAGCUACCCAAUUUUUAACACGGUUGCAUCGGUUGGCUGUCAAACAGUGCGGACGUUUCGCGUUCGCUGCUGGGAGGCGGUCGACACCAUACACAAACACUUUUGAUGAUGUAGGAUUUGAAUGAAAAGUUCAUUUUUAUGAUGGAUCCGACUGGUAAUGCGGUCGUCUAAAUCUAAAAAACAACUUUUGGCAACGGAUCUCUUGGUUCUCC